GAACAGUCUGAGGAGAGAGAAGGUGUAGCACUUAGCUUGAUCAAAAUGGGAGAGGUCCUUAGUGACCUUUACAACACAUAAUGGUUAGGCAUUGCCAACUGCUCUUUGGCAUUGAAUCAGGCAUAUAU
Monodelphis domestica (gray short-tailed opossum) is the source of this 128-nucleotide small nuclear RNA. Lineage: Eukaryota; Metazoa; Chordata; Mammalia; Didelphimorphia; Didelphidae. The record is from Ensembl.